Molecule: ribosomal RNA, 501 nt
Filed under: uncultured Entrophospora
Lineage: Eukaryota; Fungi; Glomeromycota; Glomeromycetes; Entrophosporales; Entrophosporaceae
Description: SSU rRNA
Rfam family: Eukaryotic small subunit ribosomal RNA
Source: RNAcentral
AGCAGCCGCGGUAAUUCCAGCUCCAAUAGCGUAUAUUAAAGUUGUUGCAGUUAAAAAGCUCGUAGUUGAAUUUCGGGAUUGACACAUCGGUCGUGCCUUAAGGGGUGUGAACUGGUGUAGUCAAUUUCUCACCUUCUGGAGAACCGCGAUGUCCUUAAUUGGGUGCCGCGAGGAACCAGGACCUUUACUUUGAAAAAUUAGAGUGUUUAAAGCAGGCAUUUUUGCUUGAAUACAUUAGCAUGGAAUAAUAAAAUAGGACGGCAUGAUUCUAUUUUGUUGGUUUCUAGGAUCACCGUAAUGAUUAAUAGGGAUAGUUGGGGCAUUAGUAUUCAAUUGUCAGAGGUGAAAUUCUUGGAUUUAUUGAAGACUAACUACUGCGAAAAGCAUUUGCCAAGGAUGUUUUCAUUAAUACAAGAACGAAAGUUAGGGGAUCGAAGACGAUCAGAUACCGUCGUAGUCUUAACCAUAAACUAUAGCCGACUAGGGAUCGGAUGAUGUUAA